This 23-nucleotide microRNA is filed under the name Heligmosomoides polygyrus. Its description in RNAcentral is "hpo-miR-10140-3p". The record is from miRBase by way of RNAcentral. Lineage: Eukaryota; Metazoa; Nematoda; Chromadorea; Rhabditida; Heligmosomidae.
GGAGUUGAUCGGUAGGUAAGCAA